GACGAACGCGGCGGCGUGCCUAAUACAUGCAAGUAGAACGCUGAAGAGAGGAGCUUGCUCUUCUUGGAUGAGUUGCGAACGGGUGAGUAACGCGUAGGUAACCUGCCUGGUAGCGGGGGAUAACUAUUGGAAACGAUAGCUAAUACCGCAUAAAAUUGAUUAUUGCAUGAUAAUUAAUUGAAAGAUGCAAUUGCAUCACUACCAGAUGGACCUGCGUUGUAUUAGCUAGUUGGUGAGGUAACGGCUCACCAAGGCGACGAUACAUAGCCGACCUGAGAGGGUGAUCGGCCACACUGGGACUGAGACACGGCCCAGACUCCUACGGGAGGCAGCAGUAGGGAAUCUUCGGCAAUGGGGGGAACCCUGACCGAGCAACGCCGCGUGAGUGAAGAAGGUUUUCGGAUCGUAAAGCUCUGUUGUAAGAGAAGAACGGGUGUGAGAGUGGAAAAGUUCACACUG
RNAcentral lists this ribosomal RNA (459 nucleotides) under Streptococcus sanguinis. Its description in RNAcentral is "bacterial SSU rRNA". It matches the Rfam family "Bacterial small subunit ribosomal RNA", at positions 28 to 471 of the family's 1533-position model. Lineage: Bacteria; Bacillati; Bacillota; Bacilli; Lactobacillales; Streptococcaceae. The record is from RNAcentral.